AUUGAACGCUGGCGGCAUGCCUUACACAUGCAAGUCGAACGGCAGCGCGGGAGCAAUCCUGGCGGCGAGUUGCGAACGGGUGAGUAAUACAUCGGAACGUGCCCAAUCGUGGGGGAUAACGCAACGAAAGCUGUGCUAAUACCGCAUACGAUCUACGGUUGAAAGCCGGGGAUCGCAAGACCUUGCGCGAAUGGAGCGGCCGAUGGCAGAUUAGGUAGUUGGUGAGGUAAAGGCUCACCAAGCCUUCGAUCUGUAGCUGGUCUGAGAGGACGACCAGCCACACUGGAACUGAGACACGGCCCAGACUCCUACGGGAGGCAGCAGUGGGGAAUUUUGGACAAUGGGCGAAAGCCUGAUCCAGCCAUGCCGCGUGAAGGAUGAAGGCCUUCGGGUUGUAAACUGCUUUUGUACGGAACGAAACGGUCUUUUCUAAUAAAGAAGGCUAAUGACGGUACCGUAAGAAUAAGCACCGGCUAACUACGUG
Molecule: ribosomal RNA, 484 nt
Filed under: uncultured bacterium
Lineage: Bacteria
Description: partial 16S ribosomal RNA
Rfam family: Bacterial small subunit ribosomal RNA
Source: RNAcentral